Molecule: ribosomal RNA, 158 nt
Filed under: Cyathus striatus
Lineage: Eukaryota; Fungi; Basidiomycota; Agaricomycetes; Agaricales; Nidulariaceae
Also listed under: 1 other name
Description: 5.8S ribosomal RNA
Rfam family: 5.8S ribosomal RNA
About the family: 5.8S ribosomal RNA (5.8S rRNA) is a component of the large subunit of the eukaryotic ribosome.
Source: RNAcentral
CAACUUUCAGCAACGGAUCUCUUGGCUCUCGCAUCGAUGAAGAACGCAGCGAAUUGCGAUAAGUAAUGUGAAUUGCAGAAUUCAGUGAAUCAUCGAAUCUUUGAACGCACCUUGCGCUCUUUGGUAUUCCGAAGAGCAUGCCUGUUUGAGUGUCAUUA